This 774-nucleotide ribosomal RNA is filed under the name uncultured Neocallimastigales. RNAcentral describes it as "partial large subunit ribosomal RNA". It matches the Rfam family "Eukaryotic large subunit ribosomal RNA", at positions 23 to 616 of the family's 3401-position model. The record is from RNAcentral. Lineage: Eukaryota; Fungi; Neocallimastigomycota; Neocallimastigomycetes; Neocallimastigales.
AGAGAGAGACAUGCGCGCAUAUCAAUAAGCGGAGGAAAAGAAACUAACAAGGAUUCCCUUAGUAACGGCGAGUGAAGCGGGAAGAGCUCAAAUUUGAAAUCUUCAAGGGUUUACCUUUACGAAUUGUAGUUUAAAGAAGUGUUUUCUGUUGAGGUUUUGGUAAAAGUUCUUUGGAAUAGGACAUCAUAGAGGGUGAGAAUCCCGUAUUUGACCUUUACUUUCAACUUUGUGAUACACUUUCAAAGAGUCGGAUUGUUUGGGAAUGCAGUCCAAAAUGGGUGGUAAAUUUCAUCUAAAGCUAAAUAUUGGCGAGAGACCGAUAGCGAACAAGUACCGUGAGGGAAAGAUGAAAAGAACUUUGAAAAGAGAGUUAAACAGUACGUGAAAUUGUCAAAAGGGAAGCGUUUGACACCAGUGUUGUUUUUCUGAAAAUCAAUUAAAGAACUGUUUAUGCUAAGUUGUUUAGACUUUAUCAGCUAACUGUUUAGUUUUGAGCUUUUCUUUAAUGCACUUUUCAGUUAACAAGUCAACAUCAAUUUCUUUUGCUGUAAAAAAGCUUGAGGAAGGUGGCUUGAGAUUCGUCUUAAGUGUUUAUAGCCUCUUGCCUAUGCAGUCGGAGAGAUUGAGGUCUGCAGCGUAGAUCCUUCGGGGCUAAAUGCAUUUGUGCUAAGUUAUAGCAUUUUAUAGACAACUUGUUGACUAUGAUUUGUCUUGUAGCUUACUCGCUUAUGUUAUUUUACCUACGCUUAGGAUGUUGAGCGCAUGUCUCUCUCU